CAAAGUGAGACCCUGUCUCAAAAAAACUAAAAUAAAAACAGUGCUGAAAGCAAAUAGUGGGAUAGUUUGAAUCCAAAAUUAUUCUUUCCUGAAUUUACAGUUUAUUUCAGAGCAUAAACAAAAGCUGUUGGGUGCUGUUUAUGCUGUUUCCUCAUCUCAUUGAGAAUGAUGAUAGAACUGUCCUGCCUAAUGGAAUAACCACAUAAAGUGAAACUCUCACCAAGGCUCUUGAAUGUUACCUUCUUGUUAAGUAGAAAAUGUUGGGACACUGGAUCUAAACAAAACAAUACAAAACAUGUUCAGUUGACCCAAAAAGGAGAGUGGAAAAAGGAAGUAAAGGAAGGACAAAGACAAUUCCUUGAAGUAUAUAACAAAAUGCUCAGAAGUUGAACCAACUGAUCUGUGGAGCACGGAGGAAAGUUUUGAAGCUAGAAUCAUAAAAUGUUACUGGAAAUCUAGAGGUGGUAAGUUAAGAGAUGCUAAAGUCUCUUAGGAAACAGAAUUGGUGUGGAAUCAAGCAGAUUUCAUAUUGCUCUCAAGGCCCUGCAGUGGCGACAGUGGGGAGGAUUUAAGAUUGCCAGUUCCCGGCCUUAGAAGCAGGAACUCCAGUACCUAAGGGAAGGAUGCUGCAGCCGCGUGUCUGUGGAUACUGAAGGAGCAAUGACUUGAUGGAGAGUCAGCUGAAGAUUUUAUUCAACAAGAAAAAUGUUCUGUAGAGAAAGUACGAAUGGAUCAUGUGAAUAAGUAGGGAAAACACUGUUUAAAAGUUCAAGAGAACAGAAUAUUUUAAAAUUGUAUCUUAGAAUCUGCCACUCAUGUACACAUCUCAGAUGUGCCAGUUUCUCUCCAUCUUGCUCUAGUCUACAACAGUUAAUGAGGAGCAGCAUGUUUGAGGCCACAUUGAGGACAUAUGCUGUGGAAAGUUGUGCCUUGGCCUUAGAGCCACAGAAUUCUCAGUGCUAAUCCCCGCUCACCACUUAAUAGCUGUGUGAGCUUUGGUAAAUCAAGGGAUUUCAAAUCACUUGAUUUCUCUGUGCCCCAAUUCCUUCUUCACCCUCUGGGGAUCUAGUAAAGACUGAGUUAGCACACAGAGAAUAUCUAGCUACUUCAUUAUAUGGCAGCAUAUGGUACCUAUAGAUACUCAAUAAAUAUUAGUUCCUUCCUCAUCUUUCCCUCCUUUCAGUUGCUUCAUUUACGUAAAAAUAAUACAUCUUCUUAUAUUUAAAAAGAAAUAGUUCAAGACCAGCCUGGGCAACAUAGUGAGACCCUGUCUCUACAAAGUAAAAAAUUGGCUGGGUAUGGUGGUGUCCAGCUGUCCCAGCUACUCAGGAGGCUGAGGUGAGAGGAUCUUAUGAGCCCAGGAGUUCGAGACUAGAGUGAGCUAUAAUUGCGCCACUGCACUCCAGCCUGGGCAACAAAGCAAGAACUCACCAAUAAAAUAAAAUAAAAUUUAAAAUAAAAUAAAAUAAAAUAAUUUUAGGCUUUCCAUUGAUUUAGAUUGGCCUUCCUCAAAUCAAGACUGAUCGCUGUUUGUCUAGUUAAUAAGACUAGUUCUAUUCUGAGACAGGGAUGAGAAAUUUGCUUUUAGCUUUGAACUCUGCUUCCAGAACUGCAACUCCAACAUCAGGUCACUUACAGAAUAAGCCCCUUGCUGAUGUGAGAGGUGCUUUUCUAUGUAUGUAUUCUGGAAACAAUGGAACCUGUAGUAUUUGGAGAUAUCACAAAGAACUUAUGGCAGAGGUGGCUACUGUCUACCAAAGAUUCAUAUUUUCCUUCUACCAUGCAGAAUGAGGUGGUUCCCAGCCAGACCGGCACUUCACAGAAGUUCUUCCCACUUCUGUCUAGUGGCCCAGAGGGGCUGGGCCACUUGUCUUCAAUGGCAGUGUCAGAGCAGAGUGCUCUCCGUCCCUGCAGGUGGAUGUUGUGGCAAAUCAAGGCGGCCUCUUCACACUUUUUUUCUUUUCUUGUCCAACAUUGGAUGUUGAUGGUCAGAGUGACUUUGGAAACCAUUUCUUGAAGACGGCAGAGUUUCCAUGAUACCUAAAGGUAAAUAGGUUCCCUCUAGCAACCCACUGAGAUUAAUUAGCACCCUCUGUAAUUCCAGUCCCCAGCCCCACCCCUGCUGCUCCCUGAAGGCAAGAACCAACCUUUAUAGGGAGACCAAUGGAUGGGGAGUAGAGUCUGGUUCCAGGGAAACUGAGCUUGGGCAGCUGCUAUGAGUCAAAUGGUGGGGGUUGAAGAGUGCUGGACCAAGGGUGGACUCCUCUACCCGCUCACUUUAUUGUAAAGCAGUUAGUUUGUUAAAAAAAAAAAAUUGACCUUGCAGUCUUCUUACAUUGGUUUUAGGAGCUUGGGUAAUGUGACUCUGUCCUGAGAGAUGAUCAUUUUCCCAUUUCUGAGUCCUCUGGUGGAGAGCCACACCUAGACAGGGGUAAUUUCCCCAGGACGGGAUGUUAUAUGUUACUUGAGAAUCAGGAUUUAGAGUGAGGACUGUGAAAAUUGUGCAGUUGUUUGUAUAAAACUUCAGGUUGAAGAAUCACUCAGCAAAACUAAACAACAACAACAAUAAACAAAAAUGAAUUAAAAGAAAGUCUGUUAGAUGAUAUCUUGGUAUUCAAGCCAUCAUCCCCUUAAAAUAACUAUCAACUCCUAAGUAGUAAAUGGGAGAUGAGUGGAAAAUUCUAAAAUGCCCUGUUUGCCAGCAGAUUGUUUUCCAUUCUUUUGUAAUAUUUGGCAUCUAUAAACCUUAGUUCAUGUUGGGCAAUGUGCUUUUUCAGAAGAUUAAGAAGAUGGCCAAGUUGCACCUAAAAGGCAUCCUGUAGGAUAAAUCUCCACAUCAUGCACCUCCACUGCAAUGAAGCCUCACAGUUGCUUUUGAAAAGUAUGAGUUUCUACAGUGAGCAAACAAAAUAAUGCAUAGUUCAAAGCACUUUGUAAACUAUGAAGGAUUAUACAAAUGUCAGGUAUUAUUAUUACAGAGCAAUUUUGUCUUUUUCUUUGAAAUGUUUUUUAAAUCCCUGAUAAUGUAAAGAUGUGGGUCCAUCAUGUCAUAAUGUAAGAACUCUGUUCAUUUCUCUGUAACUUAAUUUUGUAAAUUUUCUUUCUUUUUGAAUACCCCAAACUGCCCCCUCCCCUAAAUACACACACACACACACACACACACACACACACACAGCCCAAAGGGCUACUAAAUACUAAAAAUUUAAAAAGUAAUUCUGCUACUAAAUACUAAAAAUCAAAAAUGAUUAUAUUAAAACAACCUAACAUUGCAUAGCUACCAAAUCCUUCCCGUGUUGAGUAAGGAAAGGGGAUGCAUUUGUAUUUUUCACAGUACCUAUGAUGGUUUGCUAUGUAGUAUCAUGUGCAGCACAGUCACUCAAGUCAACACUGGAGAACUGAAAGAAAUAAUCGAACAUCAAGCAAGUGCUUUUUGGUAUAGCAGACAAACUCUGUGUGUACAGCAGUAGCAGGUGCGAUAAUUUCAUUGUGUUUCACACUUUUGAGGUUGGAGUUACCCUUUCCCGAGGGCAGGUGUGGGGCCCACUGAAACGGCACAGUCAAAGGCAUGCAUGGUCUGCUCCCCAGGCUGGCUGUAGGAGUAGUGAGAUGCAGUCAUUGCUGUUGUUGAAAAUUAUAAGUAUUUUGAGAUGUUUGAUCUUUUUAUUUAAACAAAAAGGUUCUCCUGUAGGUGGGAGGCCAAAUCUAUGCAGCAGAUGUAGCUGGGUAGGGGAAGUUGAUAGUGACUGACGUGGUGAUGGUGGUUUACAGUUUAUUUUAGGUGCAUUUACACACAUGAGUUUUCUAUUUUCUUUUUGAAGAUAAGGAAAAUAGAUUUAAAC
RNAcentral lists this long non-coding RNA (3839 nucleotides) under Homo sapiens (human). Its description in RNAcentral is "HSALNT0137205". Lineage: Eukaryota; Metazoa; Chordata; Mammalia; Primates; Hominidae. The record is from RNAcentral.